CCUACGGGUGGCAGCAGUGAGGAAUAUUGGUCAAUGGACGAGAGUCUGAACCAGCCAAGUAGCGUGAAGGAUGACUGCCCUAUGGGUUGUAAACUUCUUUUAUAUGGGAAUAAAAUGUUCCACGUGUGGGAUUUUGUAUGUACCAUAUGCAUAAGGAUCGGCUAACUCCGUGCCAGCAGCCGCGGUAAUACGGAGGAUCCGAUCGUUAUCCGGAUUUAUUGGGUUUAAAGGGAGCGUAGGUGGAUUGUUAAGUCAGUUGUGAAAGUUUGCGGCUCAACCGUAAAAUUGCAGUUGAAACUGGCAGUCUUGAGUACAGUAGAGGUGGGCGGAAUUCGUGGUGUAGCGGUGAAAUGCUUAGAGAUCACGAAGAACUCCGAUUGCGAAGGCAGUUCACUGGACUGCAACUGACACUGAGGCUCGAAAGUGUGGGUAUCAAACAGGAUUAGAUACCCCUGUAGUC
Molecule: ribosomal RNA, 460 nt
Filed under: uncultured bacterium
Lineage: Bacteria
Description: partial 16S ribosomal RNA
Rfam family: Bacterial small subunit ribosomal RNA
Source: RNAcentral